Molecule: small RNA, 1001 nt
Filed under: Trichoderma harzianum
Lineage: Eukaryota; Fungi; Ascomycota; Sordariomycetes; Hypocreales; Hypocreaceae
Description: eukaryotic LSU rRNA
Rfam family: Eukaryotic large subunit ribosomal RNA (bases 413-1001)
Source: RNAcentral
UUAUUGUAUACCCCCUCGCGGGUUUUUUUUAUAAUCUGAGCCUUCUCGGCGCCUCUCGUAGGCGUUUCGAAAAUGAAUCAAAACUUUCAACAACGGAUCUCUUGGUUCUGGCAUCGAUGAAGAACGCAGCGAAAUGCGAUAAGUAAUGUGAAUUGCAGAAUUCAGUGAAUCAUCGAAUCUUUGAACGCACAUUGCGCCCGCCAGUAUUCUGGCGGGCAUGCCUGUCCGAGCGUCAUUUCAACCCUCGAACCCCUCCGGGGGGUCGGCGUUGGGGAUCGGCCCUCCCUCUGCGGGUGGCCGUCUCCGAAAUACAGUGGCGGUCUCGCCGCAGCCUCUCCUGCGCAGUAGUUUGCACACUCGCAUCGGGAGCGCGGCGCGUCCACAGCCGUUAAACACCCAACUUCUGAAAUGUUGACCUCGGAUCAGGUAGGAAUACCCGCUGAACUUAAGCAUAUCAAUAAGCGGAGGAAAAGAAACCAACAGGGAUUGCCCCAGUAACGGCGAGUGAAGCGGCAACAGCUCAAAUUUGAAAUCUGGUCCCUAGGGCCCGAGUUGUAAUUUGUAGAGGAUGCUUUUGGUGAGGUGCCGCCCGAGUUCCCUGGAACGGGACGCCACAGAGGGUGAGAGCCCCGUCUGGCUGGCCGCCGAGCCUCUGUAAAGCUCCUUCGACGAGUCGAGUAGUUUGGGAAUGCUGCUCAAAAUGGGAGGUAUAUGUCUUCUAAAGCUAAAUAUUGGCCAGAGACCGAUAGCGCACAAGUAGAGUGAUCGAAAGAUGAAAAGCACCUUGAAAAGAGGGUUAAAUAGUACGUGAAAUUGUUGAAAGGGAAGCGCUUGUGACCAGACUUGGGCGCGGCGGAUCAUCCGGGGUUCUCUCCGGUGCACUUCGCCGCGUCUAGGCCAGCAUCAGUUCGUCGCGGGGGGAAAAAGGCUUCGGGAACGUGGCUCCUUCCGGGAGUGUUAUAGCCCGUUGCUUAAUACCCUGGCGGUGGACUGAGGACCGC